CUGUACUUGCCGAGAACUUCUCCAACAGCUAGCUGCUAUUUUUAUGCAGCCACAAGGAACUGAUUUAUCUGUCAGUGCAGGAGAAUGUGCUUUGCAAAGCGACUUUGUAGGAGGUGAAGAAGGAAGAGAUGAAGGUGAAGAUGGAAUACAUUGAAAAGAUGGACAAAUGAACAAGAAAUUGAUGUGUGUGGUACAAAGAACAUGAAAAUUUACCUUACAAGAAGGGUAUUUUAUGCACGGAUUACCAGCUGUGCUCUAAUACAUAUGGCUGAUACAAGAUACUGUUAAGGUUUGGACAACACAAUCCUUUAAUGGGGAUAAAAAAUUCUUUCCUUUACGUCACUAUGAAGUCUAAGUAGAUCAGAAACAGGCCUAGGUCAGGAUCUGUUAGUACUGUUGAAUACUUCUAAAGCAGUAUCAGGUUAAUUUUAUGCUGAUGAUAUUUCUAAAUUAAAGUUUUGGGUUGGUGACUUUUAAAUGAAAGAAGAAAAUAUGUAUGAAUGAAGAAAAACAUCUAUUUGGUUUGCUGAGGACCUGCUGAUCAGUGGGUUGCUGAUGUGGAUUGACUGGGGUUAGAAAGUGAAGUAGAGCCGAUAGAGCUUUGGCAGCAAGUAUGUGUGCAAUACAAAACAGAAGCAGAGGGAACUCAUGACUUUAUUUUUCAGGAUCUUGCAACAGCAUGGGAGUAGUGGCAACACUGACAUGGCCAGGGCACCAGUAUCUAUCUGAAGAGAGAAGAACAAGACAGGGGACACAGAAUCUGAUGAAGUCCUGUCAUUGUGCUGUGCUUGCCUGGCAUGGCCGGAACUGGUGUACUUCAGACACCACACACCUGGGACGAGUACAUGGGCUAUGGCAGCUGCUCUCUAACAGGCAGAGCUUCCUACUGAAAUCAAUGGAAGGUUUGCUUAAAAAUCAAUUGGAAGGUUUGGCCCUGAAACAUAAGACAAUGGGGGCUCCUCAAUCAUAUCAAGAGAAGUGAUUAAGAUACCACAAACAAACUGCUAAUCCACACAUAAAGGAACAUGUGCUACUCUAAAAGCAACCAUCUCUACCAGUGUGUAACUCUGUUUAACUUUGGUGGGAGCUUUGCCUGGAAAAGUGCAGUAGAAUCAAGUACUAAAUGUGAAGCAAUGUCAUCGGAAUUAUUAAUCAAACAUUUGUUGCUGAACUAAGGUCACUUACCAAGAGCAGAUUGGUCUUUAAAUAAACUACACAGGCAACAUCGCUGAUUUCUUGGU
RNAcentral lists this long non-coding RNA (1241 nucleotides) under Anser brachyrhynchus (Pink-footed goose). RNAcentral's name for it is "lncRNA (ENSABRG00000016991.1)". The record is from RNAcentral. Lineage: Eukaryota; Metazoa; Chordata; Aves; Anseriformes; Anatidae.